RNAcentral lists this ribosomal RNA (355 nucleotides) under uncultured bacterium. RNAcentral describes it as "partial 16S ribosomal RNA". It matches the Rfam family "Bacterial small subunit ribosomal RNA", at positions 338 to 690 of the family's 1533-position model. The record is from RNAcentral.
GCUACGGGAGGCAGCAGUGAGGAAUAUUGGUCAAUGGGCGCGAGCCUGAACCAGCCAAGUAGCGUGAAGGAUGACUGCCCGACGGGUUGUAAACUUAUUGUAUAAAGGAAUAAAGUGAGGCACGUGUGCCUUUUUGUAUGUACUUUAUGAAUAAGGAUAGGCUAACUCCGUGCCAGCAGCCGCGGUAAGACGGAGGAUCCGAGCGUUAUCCGGAUUUAUUGGGUUUAAAGGGAGCGUAGAUGGGUUGUUAAGUCAGUUGUGAAAGUUUGCGGCUCAACCGUAAAAUUGCCAUUGAUACGGGCAGCCUUUCGUACAGUUGCGGUAUUCGCCAUUCGUUGUGUAGCUGUGACAUGCU